This 153-nucleotide ribosomal RNA is filed under the name Echinostoma caproni. RNAcentral's name for it is "5.8S ribosomal RNA". It matches the Rfam family "5.8S ribosomal RNA". Rfam says of the family: 5.8S ribosomal RNA (5.8S rRNA) is a component of the large subunit of the eukaryotic ribosome. It is transcribed by RNA polymerase I as part of the 45S precursor that also contains 18S and 28S rRNA. Lineage: Eukaryota; Metazoa; Platyhelminthes; Trematoda; Plagiorchiida; Echinostomatidae. The record is from Rfam by way of RNAcentral.
AACUCUGAGCGGUGGAUCACUCGGCUCGUGUGUCGAUGAAGAACGUAAGGAACCAUGCUAAUUAUUGUAAAUUGCAAACUGAUAUGAACAUCAACAUCUUGAACACAUAUUGCGGCCAUGGGUUAGCCUGUGGCCACGCCUGUCCGAGGGUCG